Molecule: RNA transcript, 10092 nt
Organism: Dunckerocampus dactyliophorus (ringed pipefish)
Lineage: Eukaryota; Metazoa; Chordata; Actinopteri; Syngnathiformes; Syngnathidae
Gene name: lymphocyte function-associated antigen 3-like
Exons: 12
Source: RefSeq, a predicted model, not a curated record
GAAAGCAAAAGACAAUCUGCACAUAUCCAAAUGGAGCCACGGAACCGUUGGAAUAGUAAGAAAUAAGCAGGGCUUAAAUAGGGAUGUCUAAAGUGCGGACAGUCUAAAAAUGGAAUUUGACAAGAAAACUAAAAAAAAAAAAAAAAAACUACAACAGCAAAAAUGAAAAAUCAGCAAUAAUUUUUUUUUAUGAGAAAUAUUUUUAUUGAAUUUUGACAAAGUAAAAAACAAAUGCACACAAUGUUUGCUGGUAGUUUAAAAAAUCAGCAAUAAUUUUACAAGAAUAAUCUCAAAAUAUUAAGAGAAAAAAGUUGUCAUCUAACGAGGAAAACAACACGGGGAAGAAUAAUGUCGCUUUAGUAGCACGAAUUUGAAAUAUUUUUGCUAAAAAAGGAUGAGAAACAAACAAAACUAAGAAUAAAGUUGAAUUUUUUUGUUUAAAAUGAGGUUGGGGGAAAAGUUGUAAUAUUACAAGAAUAAAGUCAAACUAUGAUGUUAAUAAAUGCAUAAUAUCACAAGAAAGAAAUUUACAAAAAGAAAGUUGUUGGAAAAUUAAAAAAAAAAAAAAAAAAAAAGCAGCAGAAAUUGAAAAAAACGGCUGUAAUUUUACCUGAAUAACAUCAACAUAUUAAGAGAAAAAAGUUACAUUUUCACGACAGUAAACUUGUGAUACUGUCUGAGAAAAUGACAUUUUAACAGCAUAGAGUUGAAAUAUUAAAGAAAAAAUACAUUUUUUGAGUCAUAAUAUUAUGAGAAACAAAACAAAACUUUACAACAGAGUAUGAGGGCCACACUGAGAAAGACAAAUCAGAGUUUUCGAGACUAGAGUUGUAAAUUUACGAGAAAAAAAGUCAGAAUAUCAACAAAAGCAAAAUCUAUAGUGGCUGUCAUUCUAAAUCCUUUGACUUUUGCCCCCAAUGCCCCACUGUGUCCAAGAACACCAGUUUCUAGUCAACGUAACGUAACAUAACAUCAAAAAGUUUGAAUGAAUGAAUAGAAAAUGACAUAAGUUAAAAUAAGCAGAGAGAUUAAAGAUGAGUAAGUACCAAAUGGAGUGUUAUUAGUGUUCACGUGUCAGCUUUUUGUCGUUACAUUACGCCUUUUUGUUCUUUAUUUUUGCGAGCAUAUGGACAUGCCAGUUUGUUUGAGUGUCUUUGUCAAUAAAGUUAUCUUCAAAAGUAUGACGUCAUUUCACCGGUUUUCCUGAAAACCUAACUUGAGGACUACGAAUUUUCCAGAAAAAAACAAUCAGACUUGCCUUUUAAACAUUUUAAAUGAAGUCAAAAUUAUUUAUGUGAUUUCUGUCGUUGUUGCUAAUUAAGCUGUACUUUUCAUUUAACGCGUCUCGUGAAGUGUUUUUUUUAAGUGUGUUGUUGGGCGGGAGGUGUUUGCCACAGCACCGGUUUCCGGAAACAAAAAGUUCUUCAUCACUUCCAAGGUGAGUAUCUAAAACAUUAAAACUCAAUAGUUUUUAGGAUUAAAUGUACUGCUUUAAUAGCUGCUAUGUUCCCCAGCUUGGCCGAAGUGUCGAGGAAGAUGCAGGCGUGGCUGGCGGUUAUCUCCGUCAUCUUAACCGGUUGCUGCACUGGGUCAACCAUUUACAAAAAGGUGGGCGAUGAAGUGGUCCUCAGGCCAGAUGCGGCCCCUGAGGCCGGCCCCUUCACCAGCAUCAUGUGGAAGCACGGAGAUGACAUUGCCAUCCAGUGGGAGGGUGGAAGCACGGAGGGGUAUCGUCAGUUCAAAGCUCGCGCUACGCUGAACCACGCCAGCGGGGAGUUGACCAUCGUGGGGCUGACGCAGGAUGACAGCGGGAGAUACACGCCUGAGAUCAACUAUGUCACCACCACGCCAGCUCAUCUCCUAGUUCUCUCGUCCGUCCCCGAGCCCGCUGUCUUCACGUCCUGUGAUGCUGAGCUGACAACGUGCACUUUGACAUGUGCCGCCAACACCGCAGACGCCGAGCCCGUGACCUACACCUGGAAGUUUGGCCAUUCCGUGGAAAGCAACUCGUCGAAGGAGUACAGGAUUCGAAAGGACAGUUCAAGAGCAGGCGACAUCAGCUGCGAGCUGCAGAAUCCAGUAAGCAGAAAGGCCAGUCGGUCUACUCCAAACCCAUUCCUCACUGUGAGCGGAGACGGCAUGAAGUUCAACGCAGGACUGACAGUGUUCAUCUGUCUGGUGACGGCAGUGGUGCUGCUGGUGCUCUUGCACAAGUGUAGAACAGGCUUGUGGUUCUUCCAAAAAGAAUCCAACCCAUGGGAAGCAGACUUCUGGAAGAGGCGGGAGACGCGAGACGGGGGUGCUGUGGAAUCCAACGGCAGAACAAGCCACCAUCAGGAGACCACACGGGUGGAAGAGGAAACAGCGAUGACAUAGACGGCCGUCACGUGUCAUGGGUCGUUUAGCAGCGAGUGUGAAUGACGGCGUAACAGCUUGGAGAUCGGGAAGACCUGGGUUGGAUUCUCCCCUGGGCAUUUCUGUGUGGAGUUUGCAUGUUCUCCCCGUGUGCGCGUGGGUUUUCUCCGGGUACUCCGGCUUCCUCCCACAUUCCAAAAACAUGCAGGUGAGGUUAAUUGACGACUCCAGAUUGCCCAUAGGUAUGAAUGUGAGUGUGAAUGGUUGUUUGCCUAUAUGUGCCCUGCCAUUGGCUGGUGACCAGUCCAGGGUGUACCCCGCCUGUCGCCCGAAGUCAGCUGGGAUAGGCUCCAGCAUGCCCCCGUGACCCUAAUGAGGAAGAAGCGGUAUAGAAAAUGGAUGGAUGGAUGGACAUGUGACACCAUCACACCUACACUAAUAUUAACGCUUUAUUCUCAUACAUUUAACGCUUUAUUCUCUAAUCUUUUUGUUGUUGUUGUAAAUGUAAAAAAAACAAAAAAAAACUCAAAUUUAUGACUUUAUUCUCGUAAAUUAAAAAAACUAUUCUUGUGAAUUUACAACUUUAUUCUCGGAAAUUUAUGACUCAUAAAUAAUAUUAAAAAAAAAUUCGCGUAAAUUUAAAACUUUAUUCUCAAAUGUAUGACUCUCGUAAAAAACAACUUUAUUUCUCGGAAAUUUACAACUUUACUCUUGAGAAUAAAUUUGACUUUAUUCUCAUGAAGGUAAAAAAAAUAAAUAUUGUAAAUUUACAACUUUUAUCUUGUAAAUGCAUUACUCAAAUUUACAACUUUAUUCUCAUAAAUGUAUUACUUUAUUCUCGUUUUUAAAAAUUCCUUGUAAAUAUACAACUUUAUUCUUGUCAAUUUAUGACUCGUAAAUUAUAAAAAAAACAUUCUCGUAAAUGUACAACUAUCAUAAAUUUUAAAAAAAAUCUCGUAAAUUUAUGACUUUAUUCUCGUGAAUGUAAAAAAAAAAAUUCUCAUAAAUGUACAACUUUAUUCUUGUAAAUGUAUGAUUUUAUUUUCAAAAUCUCCGGUUAUUUUUUCCUUCAAUGUAGCCCUAACAUGCCGUCAACAAAAAACGGCCAGUAAGUUGAAAGUUGAAACUGCAAGGCUGUGACACAAAAAAAAACAAUGACAGUAAAAAUGUGAUUUGCCUUGAAGACAUAAUAAAUGUAUUUGAUAGUAUAUGCUAAUAUACACGUAUAUAUCAAUGUAACUGAUGCAUUUUUUAUUACAUGUUUUUAUUGUCAAGCUUGUGUUUUAUGCUUGUUACUUUUUGACACUUGCAGUGUAAGUUGAAACUGGAAAAAACCCAAGUCUGAGAACAUGCAACACUUAAAAAAAAACAAUGAUAAAUAAAACUAAUCUGAAGAUUGGCAUGUAAUACAAAAAUACAAAUGUAUCUUAAUAUAUUAUUUCUAUUUUAUUGCUGUACACUAGGUCCCCAACUUACGAACAUCCGACUAGCGAACACUCGCCGAUACGAACACAAGCCGACUGGUCUAUAUUUUAUUUUAUUUUGCAUUGUAGUGCUUAGGCUGCUCAAUCAGUACAGUGGAUUUCUACUGCUACUGUACAUGCUUGACCAGUAGAGGGCACUGUGACACUGCUAAUGGGACCAACAUAGGCAUCUACUGUAUAUGUAUACACGUACAUGUAGUACCUAUAUCAUUGGUAAUAUUACCUUUUCCCCUACUUAAGAACGAUUCGACUUAAGAAUGGUCGUCUGGAACCAAUUGUGUUCGUUGGUUGGGGACUUAGUGUAUAUAUAAUUGAAGUUGUUUUCCAAUAUCCAAACUUCAAGUCAGUGUUCUACGCACACAUCCAUGCAGGAGCUGCUUCACGUCUGCAGCUGCAGAAAGAUCUCAGACUUUUCAUUUAAAAAAAAAAAAAAAAAAGCAAUCAUCCGCUGAGGGGUGCUGACCAAAACACAGCAUGAAAACCAAAUGAGAAAGUCCAGCACAGCUGAGCAAACAACACAGACUGAGACAAAGUGUUCCCAUUUCAAGGCAGUGACUCCUCAGAAACCACACGGCAAAGACAAUGAGACCAGCUACAUUUCAUCCUUUUAUUCUGAAAACAAACAAAAAUCUGGUUCCAUUUGUUUUACAGCAAUCGGGCAAGUUCACAGAUAUCAUUGAUCAGCAAUAUUCCAACAUCAAUUUACAUUUUCACAUAUAAUCCUACUCAUUGCUUCCAUUAGUAACACUACAUUCCCAUCAUGAUCCAGCACCACUCCUGGGGGGGUCAGAGCAGCCAAAAUGGAAAAACUUCCAAUGUGGGCUGAAAAUAAAACAACUCAAGAUCCUUUAUUCAUCUUCAAAUCCCACCUGUUUCAUUGCAUUUGUAGCUAAAAACUAUUAACAAGAGCAUUUGGUGAGUUCGUGCACCUGACAUGAGUGCUGGGAAUCAGAACUUCUUUACAACGUGAUCGUCCCUGCUAAGAAAAUUAGGAUUAGGAUUUAGCGUGGUGCCCUCAUGAUCGUGCUGACACAACAGCAGCUCAUCCUGGCCAUCGUGAGGGAGGGGUCCCCCAACACUGACGUUUAAUGUCAUUAAAAGUGCAUUGGAUUAAAAAAACCUUUCAUACGUGACACCUGUAUCAGCUAGCAGGUGAGGCACUCGAGCACCAGAAAGGCUCAUUCAAAAGGCUUAGACGUUCCUCAGAGGUGCAGGACUUAUGUCUUGGCAUUGUUGCUGCUGGAUAAAGGUUCCGCUUCAGCAGCGACGUUGCUGAGCUCAGGCGGCUCGGACCGCCGGCCUGCCCUGCCUUGGUUCCUACAGUGACGGAUGAUCACGACGGCAGCGCUUACGAAGUAGAUGACGGUGAGCACGCUGAAGUAAAUGAAGUACACCAGGAACUGGAAGAGAGGACACCCAGCCCAAACCAGUGGAACCAUCAAUCAUUUGGAUUGCUUUUGUUUUCCUGAUUUCUUUCACACUUAAAUGUUUCACAUCAAACAAAUGAACAGUUUUCUCUCUUAAUAAUCAAAAGUUUCAUUUAAAAAGUGCAUCAAGUGUUGACUUGUGUUGUCAUUGACUAAUAUUUACAUUUGUUUGAUGAUCUGAAACAUUGAAGUGUGGCAAACAUGCAAAUAAAAACAAAAAUAAAAAAAACAGGAAGGGAGUGGUUCACCUGACUGUGCACAUCCAAAGCCAGGCCCCGCCUAUCAGCAAAUAUCAGGUUGAUGAUGGUCUUCAGGAUGGUUCCUAAGAAGGUGUUGAUGCCAAACACCAGGGCACAGAGCUCCUUGGUCAGCGACGACGCUAUCUGAAAACUACACAGCAGGACAGUGAGGUCAAAGGUGACAGCUUUUGGUCGUGUCUUGCUGUAAGACGUCUCAUCUAAGAUGUUUCCUUCAUGUUGCUUUCACAGAACACAGUCAAGUACAAAGUCAACAACUCUGGACCAGUGGUUGGGAACCUUUAGCCUCAAAAGAGCCACUGGGCCCGAUUCCUCCAAAUUAAAAGCCACCUGGAGUUGCAAGUCCUUUUACAUAAAAGGGCCCAUCUGUCCAAUAUUGUUGGCAAAUCUUUGUUAGUGAGCUUUCGUGUCCACCUCACAGCUGUGGCAUAUCAAGAUGCUGGUGAGACAGCACCAUUCAUGCCUUAGUUUGGCCACAAUAAAAAGGCCACUCCAAAAUGUACUGGGGGUGAUCGGGAGGAGUCCAAAAUCUCCUGUGACCCCCAUUUGCCUAAAACACGGUAUACACCGAUCCAGAGCAUCCCAAACAUGCCCAGUGGGUGACAUGUUGGGUGAGUAUGCGGACCAUCAGGCCUGUCACGGUAACAAAUGUUGCGGGUCAAUAAUUGUGCUACAAGUUAUGGGCGAUAUUCGAUAUUAUUGGCAACAUUUGUGAUACCAUUUUUUUUGUGAAAUUAUUUUCAUGAGGUGUAAUUCACAUUUGAGCCACUAGAUGGUACUCAAGUAUACUUUGACACAUUUUUUGCUCUUGUGACAGCUCAAAUAUGUAAACUAUACCAACAUAAACAACACAAAUGUUUUGGGGUUUUUUACAUCAAAAUAAUUGAUUUACAAAUACAACACCAUGAACUAUCUACAAUUGUCACAUUUGGAACUGACGUGUGCACGCAUGCACGUGCUUGUGUGCAUGUGUUAAAAUGUCCCUACAAUGUGCACGCUACACUCCUUCACGCUCUCUCACUUCCUCCUUCCUGUCAUGUGUGUUUUUUCCCAUCCACUUGAUCUCUUCAUGAGCUCUGAUUAAAUGCACUUCUGCCACCUUGUGGCCAUUUUUAUGGCUUCAAAUUGCUCUGAAAUCAAAUGCAUGAGUGGGGAGUUGUGUCAUCCUUUGCCUAUAAAAGCUGUAUAAAUACUUUGUUGAGGUUUAUAAAAACGUGUGACUACGUGUUCGGAGUCCAAUGAGUUGAACUGCACAUUUUUGCGUGGCCUUCUAUUGUGGCCAGCCUAAGGCAUACCUGUUCUGCAUCUUGACACUGUGACAGGUGUGGAUGGAUUUGUCAACACUGUUUGACACAGAUGAGCCUUUUGUGUCCAUCGAAAAAGUUUGACAUCUUUGAGUUCCGCUCAUGAAAAAUGAGAGCUAAAGUGCUGUGUUUGCAUUUUCCUUUUCUGGCUUCCUGUUCCUCCUGGCAGAGUGACAAGCCACACCUGUUGCCACCUGGCAAUUAGUCACGUUUCUUGAGGUCGCCCUUUGCACCAGUUAGAUGCGGGAUUAUUCUCUCCUGAGCUGUCGUGUUGCCACACUUCCCCUUCUCCACCAUUGUUCUCCUUUUCCGUUUCCACAUUGUUCAGUUAUCUUUGCUGUAUUUAUGCGUUGAGGCGAGCCCCAUCCUCCCCCUCCAGAUCCCCUUUCUCAGCGUGGCAUACGUCUCCAAAAGUUCUAACCUUGCAUUGCGGCGACGGCUGUAAUUGGUUGACCUUUGGUCCAUCAUUUCCUGUGUUGAUACAACUCAUUCAGAGGGUGAGCGGCUCGCCUUCGCAGGCGCCUUCUCCGUUGAUUUCAGGGUCAACAUUUGCAAUAAAAGUCUUGCAACACAGAUUAGUUCCACUUUUAGGACUGCUUUCGCUCUCUUCAGUUGCCGUUGUUCAUGAGCGACAAAGGAAGCUAACAAGCUAAAUUGUUGACCAGCGUCACGGUGUCUCACCGGGAGACACUCCCACUGGCACUCAGGCGGAGAAUCGCACGGCACGCACUCGGCUCAUGACGGUGUCAGAAGGGACGGCAUAGUGACUACACAGGAGCAUAGACCAGCUUUCAAAUAUCGAGAUUUCCUUUAAACACGAUAUCAAAAGCAAGCAUGUCGUUCAUAUCCAAAUACUGUAGACUGGACAUCGUUUACACUCGGGAGCAGCUGUUAGCUUUGAGCCACACACGCCUUCGCUACACUGAGCGAGCGGAGAUACGGGGUAGGAGAGGCUGCAUAGCGGGAGUGAAGCGCCAACAGCGGAAAAGACGGUAUAGACCAUGUUUAGCAUCUGUUUAGCAUAUUUCACUUUUUCUAUACUCAUUUCAAAAAGAGAAUGGACUAUUUUAUUUCAGAGGCUGUUUUUGUGCGGAUACAGAUGUUUCCAGCAUUCUUCAUUUGAUUCUUAUUUGUCAAUUUAUUAAAGAGAUAGUUUGGAUUUUUUGACAUGGUGUUGUAUGACAUCCGCAUCAGCAGUGACUGGACCCCUCUGGCUCCCCACCCAUUUUGUUCCGUGAGCAGAGUUCUGGACGGAUUUCAGUAAGGAGGAGCCUAGUUCGUUAGUUGCUGGGGUUACUUAAGAGUUUGGCUUCUGAAAACAACAUGCGUUCAAAAGAGUGAUACAUUUGCAUCACAAAACCGUUGCUACCAAAAGAGUCAAACCUCUCAGUCGCUCGCUGUUACUUCCUCUCUGUUGGUAUCACUAUGCGCUCUCGCCCGUCCAUCGUUGUGCGUGUGUGUUCCACAGUGUUUACAUGCACGGUGGAGACUGCUGCGACUGAGGAGACACACACACACAACGAUGGACAGGCGAGAACAGAACAAAUCAGCUGAUAUCGGAAUCUGCAAUAAAGUGCUUGGCGAUAUCAGUUUAUUGUCCUCCUUCCUACUUAUUCCAUCAAAGAUGCUCUGGACUUCCCCAACAGCAGCAACAAUUGCUCAAAACAUUUUAGCUGGACCUGGUUUUAGAAGGGCUUAUGGGCAAAUACAUCUGCACUCACGUGGCAAUGGGCACCAGGAACUGGUGGAAGCCCCUGAAGAGGACGUAGGACACGUAACAGACCCAGAGGUUGUCGGUAAUGCCCAUCAGCAGCAGAAGGCCAGCCUGCAAGGCCGUGAUCACAGCGAUGACCAGCUCUGACCAGAUAUUCCACCGGAUUUUCACAAAGCCUGCGCUGAAGGCGGCCAAAGCGCCUGCAACAGAACGACCAUCAACUUGCAGACGGUACACACGUUGGUACACUGAAGCUGGAGAAAUCUUACUCAGUAGGGUAGAAGCAGCCUCCACACCUCCGUUGUAAACGUUCUUGUUCUCGGUGGAUAUGGAGAAGUUGCUCCACAGGAUGUGGACGUAGAACAACACCAGGUAGUACCCCGUGGAGUUGAACACCCACCACAGGGACCACAGUCGCAGGUUGGGUCUAUACACCACCGUUCUCAACUCCAUCAGCAUCUGCACAAAGAUGGAAUCCUUCCAGCGGGAUGCAGAACAGGGCGUCAGGGCGGCGGUCAACCCGCCACCCUUAGGAUUCAUCUGGUCUAGUUCUGCCUUGCUGGCGACUCGUGCCGCCACCUCUCUGUGCUCCUGCUUCCGUGCCUGGUUGAAGAACAGGGAGCGCCGUGGCCAGGGCAGGCAUAGCGACAGCACCAGACCAAAGCUGACAAAACCCAAAGAAAUAGCGCUGAGGGUGGUGUACGUGAUCUUGCCCACGGAGAUGAAAAGCUGUCCGAGCACGGAGCUGGUGAACACUCCCAAGAGGACGGAGGAGCGAGAGUAGCUGGCCACGCGCUGGUAGAGGCCAGGAGUGACCAGGGAGAAGAUGUAGGAGGAGUACGCCACACGGCACGCCAUCGUGACGCCGUAGAAGAAUUCCAUGAACUGCAUCUGAAUGAGCGAGGUACCCAGGAACAGAAUGAGCCAGAUAACCACCUGACUGACACCCUGGACGACCAGAACUGGUUUGUAGCGCAGAAGAUCGGUCAGCAGGAAGGCUGGAACCAGCACGGCCAUGUAGGAGUACGUCAGCACCGGUGUGAUCUCAUUGGUCACCUAAAAUUGCAGAAAGGCCAGGAAAAUGUCAUCAACUUUGUUUCUGCAGGGAGGAUUUUUUAGGUGUUGCAUGAAGAGCAAGUGGUGGUCAAGUAGUCUUACAGCAUCACUUCCUGCAGUGGCCGUCCAUGAAGCUUUGUAGAUGGCUGGUGAGUGGGCCAGGGAAUGAGUUCAUUAGCUAUAACUAGAUGAUUGCAAUGAGUUUCACCCAGAGUUCCUCAAGGCUCUGGAUGCUGAGGGACUGUCUCGGCUGACACGUCUCUUCAACACUGCGUGGAAGUGGGGAACAGUACCUCUGGGUUGGCAGACUGGGGUGGUGGACCCCCUAUUCAAGAAGGGUGACCGGAGGGUGUGUUCCAACUAUACUCCUCAGCCUCCCUGGGAACGUCUAUUCCAGGGUGCUGGAGAGAAGGGUCCCACCGUUAGUUCCAACCUCGGCUACAGGAGGUGCAAUGUGGUUUUCGUCGUGGUCGUGGAACAAUGGACCAGCUCUAC